RNAcentral lists this ribosomal RNA (253 nucleotides) under uncultured bacterium. Its description in RNAcentral is "partial 16S ribosomal RNA". It matches the Rfam family "Bacterial small subunit ribosomal RNA", at positions 524 to 776 of the family's 1533-position model. The record is from RNAcentral.
UACAGAGGUCCCAAGCGUUGUUCGGAUUCAUUGGGCGUAAAGGGUGUGUAGGUGGCGCCGUAAGUCGGGUGUGAAAUUUCGGAGCUUAACUCCGAAACUGCAUUCGAUACUGCGGUGCUUGAGGACUGGAGAGGAGACUGGAAUUCAUUGUGUAGCAGUGAAAUGCGUAGAGAUCAUGAGGAAGACCAGUGGCGAAGGCGGGUCUCUGGACAGUUCCUGACACUGAGACACGAAGGCCAGGGGAGCAAACGGG